UGUGAACUUUCCCCAGAUCCUUCAGUAUACUUUUCCCCCCAUCUAAUUUUCUUUCCUCUUCCCUGCUCUAUUACCCAUUGGUUAGGGGCCACUGAACCUAUUCAGUCUUGACUUGUUUGGGGCUUUCUGUCCCAUACAACUUGUGCAUAUCAGUUUCUGCCCCCCAAAGAUUCUGUUUGUGUGUGUCUUUGUGUGUGUGUGUUUGUUUUGCCAGCUCUGGCUAUUUGGUUGCAUAAUGGUGGUGGUCGAGUAGACCAGAUAGGCGGGGGAGAAAGAAAGAAAGAAAGAAAGAAAGAAAGAUCCGUGCUGGAAGAGCCGCUCCAUUAUUGGCAGAAAUCAAAUGGGUUUAGGUUCUGGACAAGCUAUGGAAGAGGGGCAAGGGCUGACAUGAGAUCUGUGCUUUGAGCAGAUGCGCUUUCAGCAUGAGGACCACUGUAAUAAUUAAAUUCUGAUAAUUAUGGGUAGAAGGACUGUGCUAUCUUCUUGCAGAACUUUUGGCCAAGACACGUGUGGCUUUUAAAAAAAAUAAUAACUUACUCUAAUGCACUCCUUCUAGAAGGGGGAAGUCACUGGAGGAUUCGCAGCUGUGCAUGUUCACUGCACUUUGAUUCCUCCCUGGUCCUGCUCUGCCCCUCCUAAUCUGCAGUGCUAUAAAAGAUGGGAGCUCUGCUGCCUGCCAGCCUGUUGGACUGGAAAAUGGAGCCAACCCGCCAGCCGAAUGGUUCCCACGCAGCCAGGGCCCAGGGCUGCGGCAGCCCAACAGCGAGGUGGAUGGCGGAGAGAGAAGCUUCAGGGUGAACCUCCACUGCAAACACGGGCGGCCCAGGUAAGGGCGGGAGUGGGGAAUAGGCCCCCUCGAUAAGCCAGUCUUUCCCCUUCUGGCUCGGAAAGAGUUCCAGGCUUUUCAGGCUUUUCCUGCUGAUUUGGGGAGAUGGUGAGGCUCCAUCGCUGUGUGGAAGAAGGUGAGGUCACUGAAGAAGGCCCGAAGGGAGGACGUGGCUCUAACCUUCGUCCUCCAAGGUAGCGGCAAUGAGAGGAAGGACCUCUUCCUUCACACACCCUGUCCUGCCCCCUGCAGCCCCAAGAGAGCUGUGGAAUAUACUGUCCUGUCACUAGUCCUGAAUUAAAAUCCAACCGUCAGGCUAGUUUGUUGGUUUGUGUCUGUGUAUGUCUGUGUCCGUGUCCCUGUCCCCUUUAACUCUGGUCGUAAAAUAUGGUGGGGCAAUCUUGUCUGCACUCCGCUUCAGUCUAGGCAUGCAUGUCAUGAAAGGAGGCGUUGGAAUGGAUUCUGCACUUUUAGACUACAGGG
This 1309-nucleotide long non-coding RNA is filed under the name Pogona vitticeps (central bearded dragon). RNAcentral describes it as "lncRNA (ENSPVIG00000023300.1)". The record is from RNAcentral. Lineage: Eukaryota; Metazoa; Chordata; Lepidosauria; Squamata; Agamidae.